CACCGCGGUUAUACGAGAGGCCCAAGUUGAUAAACACCGGCGUAAAAUGUGGUUAACAUAAUAUUAUACUAAAGCUAAACAUCUUCAAAGCUGUUAUACCCAUAUGAAGACAGGAAGACCUCCCACGAAAGUGGCUUUAAAUAAUGCUAUUCCACGAAAGCUAGGAAA
Molecule: ribosomal RNA, 168 nt
Filed under: Luciogobius grandis
Lineage: Eukaryota; Metazoa; Chordata; Actinopteri; Gobiiformes; Gobiidae
Also listed under: 2 other names
Description: partial 12S rRNA
Source: RNAcentral